Molecule: ribosomal RNA, 203 nt
Filed under: uncultured bacterium
Lineage: Bacteria
Description: partial 16S ribosomal RNA
Rfam family: Bacterial small subunit ribosomal RNA
Source: RNAcentral
UACGUAGGGUGCGAGCGUUGUCCGGAAUUAUUGGGCGUAAAGAGCUCGUAGGCGGUUUGUCGCGUCUGCUGUGAAACUGGGGCUCAACCCCAGCCUGCAGUGGGUACGGGCAGACUAGAGUGCGGUAGGGGAGAUUGGAAUUCCUUGGUGUAGCGGUGGAAUGCGCAGAUAUCAGGAGGAACACCGAUGGCGAAGGCAGAGUC